Molecule: ribosomal RNA, 301 nt
Filed under: uncultured bacterium
Lineage: Bacteria
Description: partial 16S ribosomal RNA
Rfam family: Bacterial small subunit ribosomal RNA
Source: RNAcentral
CAGCAGCCGCGGGAAUACGAAGGGUGCAAGCGUUACUCGGAAUUACUGGGCGUAAAGCGCACGUAGGCGGAUAUUUAAGUCAGGGGUGAAAUCCCGCAGCUCAACUGCGGAACUGCCUUUGAUACUGGGUAUCUUGAGUAUGGAAGAGGUUAGUGGAAUUGCGAGUGUAGAGGUGAAAUUCGUAGAUAUUCGCAGGAACACCAGUGGCGAAGGCGGCUAACUGGUCCAUAACUGACGCUGAGGUGCGAAAGCGUGGGGAGCAAACAGGAUUAGAGACCCCCGUAGUCCCUGUCUCUUAUAC